CAGUAGCCACGGUAAUACGUAGGGUGCAAGCGUUAAUCGGAAUUACUGGGCGUAAAGCGUGCGCAGGCGGUUUGUUAAGACAGAUGUGAAAUCCCCGGGCUCAACCUGGGAACUGCAUUUGUGACUGGCAAGCUAGAGUCUGGCAGAGGGGGGUGGAAUUCCGCGUGUAGCAGUGAAAUGCGUAGAUAUGCGGAGGAACACCGAUGGCGAAGGCAGCCCCCUGGGCCAACACUGACGCUCAUGCACGAAAGCGUGGGGAGCGAACAGGAUUAGAGACCCGCGUAGUCCCUGUCUCUUAUAC
Molecule: ribosomal RNA, 301 nt
Filed under: uncultured bacterium
Lineage: Bacteria
Description: partial 16S ribosomal RNA
Rfam family: Bacterial small subunit ribosomal RNA
Source: RNAcentral